This 254-nucleotide ribosomal RNA is filed under the name uncultured bacterium. Its description in RNAcentral is "partial 16S ribosomal RNA". It matches the Rfam family "Bacterial small subunit ribosomal RNA", at positions 524 to 776 of the family's 1533-position model. The record is from RNAcentral.
UACGUAGGUGGCAAGCGUUGUCCGGAUUUACUGGGCGUAAAGAGCGCGCAGGCGGUCGUUCAAGUCGCGUGUGAAAGCCCCCGGAUCAACUGGGGAGGGUCACGCGAUACUGAUCGACUCGAAGGCAGGAGAGGGUAGUGGAAUUCCCGGUGUAGUGGUGAAAUGCGUAGAUAUCGGGAGGAACACCAGUGGCGAAGGCGACUACCUGGCCUGUUUCUUGACGCUGAGGCGCGAAAGCUAGGGGAGCAAACGGG